This is a long non-coding RNA of Hypanus sabinus (Atlantic stingray), 3197 nucleotides long. RefSeq lists it as uncharacterized. NCBI's taxonomy places the organism in Eukaryota, Metazoa, Chordata, Chondrichthyes, Myliobatiformes, Dasyatidae. The transcript is spliced from 2 exons. The record is from RefSeq and is a predicted model, not a curated record.
GCUUAGUAAAUCUCUCUCUCCCUUCAAUAUGCCUGCGUUUGCCAUUCUUAUGAAAACUGAAGAGGAUUUGUAAUCACCUGGUAUAUCUUUCUCAAUUACAACUCUCUGACCAGAUGGCCCGGUGUCAGUGGGGCUUUGCAAGGAAUGAGGAAUUUCCCUUUUUCUUUCGAGACUUGUUAAACACAUGAGCCUGGAAUUUGGAUUCAUUUCGCUGUUCAUGUUCCAAAUCACAUCAUUUCAGCAUACCUAUGAUUCACUGGGCUCCACGGGUUCUUGUUAUCCUACCUAAUCCAUCAAUUUUCAUUAGUUCAUUUGUUAUUCCAGUCACAAAUUGCACAGCCCACUCCUACAAGUUCAGUCUCUCUUGCGUGUAACCAGCUCAUGGAGCCAGGCCCAGUACACAUUCCCUUCACAUAUCUUUGGUUAAUCAUCCCUUCCACUGCCUGCUUCUUUUACUCAGUGUCACUUUCUCAAAGGGGAUUACUCCUCUUUGUAACUGUCUUGGGUUUAUUUUUUGCUAUUUUAGUCUUACUUUUUUUUUGAUACCCUGAUGUGCUGCUUCAAGAUAGAUUUUUUUUUACAUUGGAGGGCACAGUAGAGGCUAUAAACACAAGAGAUCCUGCAGAUGCUGGAAGUCCAGAGCAACACAUGCAAAAUACUGGGGGAUCUCAGCAGGUCAGUCAGCGUCUAAGAAAGGGAUAAACAGUCAAUGUUUCAGGCUGAGACACUUCAUCAGGACUGGAAAGGGGAAGAAGCCAGAAUAAGAGGAGGAGAGGGGAAAGAGUACAAGCCAGCAGGUGAUAGAAGAGACCAGGUGAGGGGGAAGGGGGAUAAACUGAGCAGCUGGGAAAAGAUAGGUGGAAAAAAUAAAAGGGCUGAAGAGGGAGGAAUCUGAUAGGAGAGGGGAGUGGAUCUUGGGACAAAGGGAUUGAGGAGGGGCACCAGAGGAGAGGUGAUGGGCAGGUGAGGAGAAGGGGUAAGAGGGGAGCCAGAAUGGGGAAUGGAAAAAGAGAGAAGGGGCAGAAAUGACUGGAAAUGAGAGAAAAAUUGACCUUCAUGCUAUCAGGCAGAAGUCUACCCAGGCAAAAUAUGAGGUGUUGCUCUUCCAGCCUGAGAGUGGCAUCAUGGCAGCAGUACAGGAGUCCAUGGACUGACAUGUCAGAAUGGGAAGUAGAAUUAAAAUGGCUGGACCAUUACAUAUCUUUGGUCAAACAUCAUAAGCCCUUCUGCUUCUUCUACUCAAUGUCAGUUUUAUUUGAUCAAGCCUUUUUGUAAUUGUUUUGAAUUUAUUUUUGCUAUUUUAAUGUCACUUUCUGUUUUGAUAAACUGAUGAACUGCUUCAAGAUCUUUUAAUUACAUUGGCAGACACAGUAUAGCUACGACCUUCAGGAAAACAAUAUAGAACUAAGGGAUAAAAUGUAGUGGAGGAAUAAAUUCAGGUUUAAAAUCAGGUUUUAAAAUCAGGUUUAAAUUCACCAGUAUAUGUUGUGAAAGUUGUUAACUUUAUGGCAGCAGUACAAUGAAAUACUUGAUAAAUAAAUAUAGAGAAAAAACUGAAUUACAUUGUGUAUAGACAAAUGUCUAUUAAAUAGUGAAGUUAAAAUAAACAGUGCAAAAGAAAACAGAAAUGAAAAGGUAGUGAGGUAGUGUUCAUGGGUUCAAUGUCCAUUUAGAAAUUGGAUGGCAGAGGGGAAGAAGCUGUUCCUGAAUUUCUGAGUGUGUGCCUUCAGGCUCCUGUACCUGAAGAUGGGAAAAGGGACAACGCCAGUACCAGACCAAUUAUUUCCUCCAGUUGAAUCCUCGCAAUUUUACUUCUACAGUGUAUCCCUUUCUAAAGCCUUAACCAUAUUGCCCCUGCCAGCAUGCUAAAAAGGAAAUGAAAGGAGUAACAAUAACAAUGAAAAGGAAAUAAUACCUUUAAAGGGCGAAAACUAGUGAGGAUAAUAAGUGAAGAGAAAAGGGAAAACUGAGAAGAGAAAACCCAGACAGAAUACAGGUGAGAAUGCAAGAGGGAGACUAGGCUACAACUAACAACCAUUUUUCUUUUUGAUAAUGAACUGUUGCACUCCGACGUGAAUUUUGCGUUUCGCUGUCUUCCUGUCUCAUAGGCUGACCAGAUGUGCAGCCUGUUUGGUGGUUCACACAAUAAUUCCUACAUUUGGGAAAACUUACUCCUGUACAUCUGAAGUCAGUUUUCAAAACUGAUGAAACUUGAGAUUAUUUUUCCCAACAUGAUCUCGUAUCACAGUCACAAGAGGGACUGCAGAUGCUGGAAAUCUGGAGCAAGACACACAACGUGCUGGAGGAGCUCCGCAGUGUGGGGGAGCAUACUUUCAAACACAGCUGAACUGCUCCAACUCUAAUGAUCAACACAGCGUGCUGUUUCCCAGCUGCAACUGAACUACAUCUUCACGGAAGACGAUGCAUCUAACCUCGCACAGACUCCUGUCAGUAAUCACCACCAUCACUGACCUGCAGCGGUGCCCUACCACGUGUCACAUCUCUUCUAACUAUCUGACUGUAGUGCUGUCACCCAUUACUUGACUCUUGCUAACCUGCGUAGGCUCCAAGCCUCUACCUUGUGCAGAUUAGUGAAGGUGUGGUCGUGAGUAAUUAAGUUUAAAAAGGCUCAAUUCCAUUUUCCUGUCAUCAACCUGUUCCAGUUCUGGACUCUUUCCCACCCACACACUAAAUCCGAUGAUAGCGCAUUAGUCCUGUGAGGAGCGAUAAAGUAGACCGCACCAAUACUCUCAAGAGUGAUUGCAUUGAAAUUUACAGAAUUCUUGAAGGACCAGAGAAUUAGUAGAUGCAAAUUCACUUCACUUCUAUAAGAUGUAAAAGAUCCUGAGAGGAAUAGAGAGAGUUAACAGCCAGCAUCUUUUUCCCAAGUUUUGGGUGUGUUUUUUUUCCAGAGAAAGCAGUGGAUGCCUAGAAAGCACUGCUAGGGAUGGUGGUGGAGGCUAAUACAACAGGAACAUUUAAAUGUCUCUUAGACAGGCACAGGGGUGUAAAAAGGGCUGUGUCGGAGAGAAGGUUAGAUUGAUCAAGGAGUAGGUUUAUAUACUAUGGAUCAGCACUACACCACAGGCCGAAGGCACACAUUCCAGCUACGCUCGGUGGCUCCCCCAGCAAACCCUCGGGUGUGUCGUUUGUACGUUUCAAUGUGCAUGUGAGAAAUAAAUUUGAAUCUAUCUGCA